UCGGUUGGGGAUGGACUCGCGGCCUAUCAGCUAGUUGGUGAGGUAACGGCCCACCAAGGCGACGACGGGUAGCCGGCCUGAGAGGGCGACCGGCCACACUGGGACUGAGACACGGCCCAG
RNAcentral lists this ribosomal RNA (120 nucleotides) under uncultured bacterium. Its description in RNAcentral is "partial 16S ribosomal RNA". It matches the Rfam family "Bacterial small subunit ribosomal RNA", at positions 215 to 334 of the family's 1533-position model. The record is from RNAcentral.